UACAGAGGUCCCGAGCGUUGUUCGGAUUCACUGGGCGUAAAGGGUGCGUAGGUGGUGAGGUAAGUCGGAUGUGAAAGCUCGGAGCUCAACUCCGAAAUGGCAUUGGAAACUACCUUGCUCGAGGGUUGGAGGGGGGGACUGGAAUACUUGGUGUAGCAGUGAAAUGCGUAGAUAUCGAGAGGAACACCAGUGGCGAAGGCGAGUCCCUGGACAGGUCCUGACGCUGAGGCACGAAAGCGUGGGGGAGCAAACAGG
RNAcentral lists this ribosomal RNA (255 nucleotides) under uncultured bacterium. RNAcentral's name for it is "partial 16S ribosomal RNA". It matches the Rfam family "Bacterial small subunit ribosomal RNA", at positions 524 to 776 of the family's 1533-position model. The record is from RNAcentral.